Molecule: ribosomal RNA, 107 nt
Organism: Nomascus leucogenys (northern white-cheeked gibbon)
Lineage: Eukaryota; Metazoa; Chordata; Mammalia; Primates; Hylobatidae
Source: Ensembl
CUCUACAGCCAUACCACCCUGAACGUGCCCAAUCCCAUCUAGAUCUGAGGGUAAGCAGGGUCGGGCCUGGCAAGUACUUUGAAGGAAGCAGCCUGGGGAGGUGGAGA